RNAcentral lists this ribosomal RNA (431 nucleotides) under uncultured bacterium. RNAcentral's name for it is "partial 16S ribosomal RNA". It matches the Rfam family "Bacterial small subunit ribosomal RNA", at positions 29 to 507 of the family's 1533-position model. The record is from RNAcentral.
AACGAACGCUGGCGGCAGGCUUAACACAUGCAAGUCGAGCGCCCCGCAAGGGGAGCAGCAGACGGGUGAGUAACGCGUGGGAACGUACCUUUUGGUUCGGAACAACUCCGGGAAACUGGAGCUAAUACCGGAUAAGCCCUAACGGGGAAAGAUUUAUCGCCGAAAGAUCGGCCCGCGUCUGAUUAGCUAGUUGGUGAGGUAACGGCUCACCAAGGCGACGAUCAGUAGCUGGUCUGAGAGGAUGAUCAGCCACACUGGGACUGAGACACGGCCCAGACUCCUACGGGAAGCAGCAGUGGGGAAUAUUGGACAAUGGGCGCAAGCCUGAUCCAGCCAUGCCGCGUGAGUGAUGAAGGCCUUAGGGUUGUAAAGCUCUUUUGUCCGGGAAGAUAAUGACUGUACCGGAAGAAUAAGCCCCGGCUAACUUCGUG